This 253-nucleotide ribosomal RNA is filed under the name uncultured bacterium. Its description in RNAcentral is "partial 16S ribosomal RNA". It matches the Rfam family "Bacterial small subunit ribosomal RNA", at positions 524 to 776 of the family's 1533-position model. The record is from RNAcentral.
AACAUAGGUCCCGAGCGUUAUCCGGAUUUACUGGGCGUAAAGCGUGUUCAGGCGGUCUAGCAAGCCGGGCAUGAAAUCUCUCGGCUCAACCGGGAGGGGUUGUCCGAUACUGCUGGGCUUGAGGGCAGCAGAGGGUGGUGGAAUUCCGGGUGUAGUGGUGAAAUGCGUAGAUAUCCGGAGGAACACUAGUGGCGAAGGCGGCCACCUGGGCUGUACCUGACGCUCAAACACGAAAGCUAGGGGAGCGAACGGG